UCAGGAGCCGUCACAGGUGCUGCAUGGCUGUCGUCAGCUCGUGCCGUGAGGUGUAUGGUUAAGUCCUGCAACGAGCGCAACCCUCGUCGCUGGUUGAUUUCUCUAGCGAGACUGCCCCGCAAACGGGAGGAAGGUGGGGAUGACGUCAAGUCAGCAUGGCCUUUAUAUCUUGGGCUACACACACGCUACAAUGGAUGGCACAAUAGGUUGCAACAGCGCGAGCUGAAGCUAAUCCCCAAAGCCAUCCUCAGUACAGAUUGCAGGCUGAAACCCGCCUGCAUGAAGUCGGAGUUGCUAGUAACCGCAAAUCAGCAUGUUGCGGUGAAUACGUUCUCGGGCCUU
RNAcentral lists this ribosomal RNA (342 nucleotides) under uncultured Chloroflexota bacterium. Its description in RNAcentral is "bacterial SSU rRNA". It matches the Rfam family "Bacterial small subunit ribosomal RNA", at positions 1022 to 1382 of the family's 1533-position model. Lineage: Bacteria; Bacillati; Chloroflexota. The record is from RNAcentral.